AGACACAAGGACCCAGCAUUCUCUGGGCUGCUCAGACUGCAGUUUAUUUACCAGGAUAUUUAUCUACACAGGCAUUCAGGAGAUCAUUUCUGAUUCUGAUAAAUCAACAUGAAGAUACAGUGUUUAAUAAUAAUAGUUGUCCUGCUGAUGGCAGCUUGUCUGGUUGAGCCCUCUGAUGGGAGGUGUCCAAGCGACUCUUCAUCUGGCGGGGGAGGGAGACGUUGCAACUAUGACUGGCAAUGCCGUCGCGGGUGGAUGUGCUGCUGGCAUCGCUGCGUCUAUGGGUCAUGAUUUUGAGGUAGAGGACAGUUCUUCCCUCACCGUCAUGAACGCUGAUGGUGAGAUGC
Molecule: long non-coding RNA, 347 nt
Organism: Nematolebias whitei (Rio pearlfish)
Lineage: Eukaryota; Metazoa; Chordata; Actinopteri; Cyprinodontiformes; Rivulidae
Exons: 3
Source: RefSeq, a predicted model, not a curated record